GGCUGUAUAGUGUAGUGGUUUAUCACUCGGGAUUUUGACAACAUCUUCCCGUAACCUGGGUUCGAGCCCCAGUACGGCCU
Molecule: non-coding RNA, 80 nt
Organism: Ceratobasidium sp. 394
Lineage: Eukaryota; Fungi; Basidiomycota; Agaricomycetes; Cantharellales; Ceratobasidiaceae
Source: the annotation of a GenBank genome assembly